RNAcentral lists this ribosomal RNA (405 nucleotides) under uncultured bacterium. RNAcentral describes it as "partial 16S ribosomal RNA". It matches the Rfam family "Bacterial small subunit ribosomal RNA", at positions 30 to 526 of the family's 1533-position model. The record is from RNAcentral.
AUUGAACGCUAGCGGGAUGCUUUACACAUGCAAGUCGAACGAGUGGCGGACGGGUGAGUAAUAUAUCGGAACGUGCCCAGUAGCGGGGGAUAACUACUCGAAAGGGUGGCUAAUACCGCAUACUAUUGGAGCGGCCGAUAUCGGAUUAGCUAGUUGGUGGGGUAAAGGCUCACCAAGGCAACGAUCCGUAGCUGGUUUGAGAGGAAGACCAGCCACACUGGGACUGAGACACGGUCCAGACUCCUACGGGAGGCAGCAGUGGGGAAUUUUGGACAAUGGGCGAAAGCCUGAUCCAGCCAUCCCGCGUGUAUGAGAAGGCCUUCGGGUUGUAAAGUACUUUUGGCGGAGAAGCGUUACUCGCAGAAGAAGCACCGGCUAACUACGUGCCAGCAGCCGCGGUAAUUC